This 448-nucleotide ribosomal RNA is filed under the name uncultured bacterium. RNAcentral describes it as "bacterial SSU rRNA". It matches the Rfam family "Bacterial small subunit ribosomal RNA", at positions 29 to 507 of the family's 1533-position model. The record is from RNAcentral.
AACGAACGCUGGCGGCAGGCCUAACACAUGCAAGUCGAACGAAGGCCCGGAGCUUGCUCCGGUCACCUUAGUGGCGGACGGGUGAGUAGCGCGUGGGAACCUACCUUGCAGUACGGAAUAACUGUUGGAAACGGCAGCUAAUACCGUAUACGCCCUACGGGGGAAAGAUUUAUCGCUGUUGGAUGGGCCCGCGCCUGAUUAGCUUGUUGGUGAGGUAAUGGCUCACCAAGGCGACGAUGCGUAGCCGACCUGAGAGGGUGAUCGGCCACAUUGGGACUGAGACACGGCCCAGACUCCUACGGGAGGCAGCAGUGGGGAAUAUUGCGCAAUGGGGGAAACCCUGACGCAGCAACGCCGCGUGAAUGAUGAAGGUUUUCGGAUCGUAAAGUUCUAUCAGCAGGGAUGAAUUUUGACAGUACCUGACUAAGAAGCCCCGGCUAACUACGUG